UCAUGCUCAGGACGAACGCUGGCGGCGUGCCUAACACAUGCAAGUCGAACGGAGAUAAAGAUUUCGGUUUUUAUCUUAGUGGCGCACGGGUGAGUAACACGUGAAUAACCUGACCCAAAGAGGGGGGAUAACACCUGGAAACAGGUGCUAAUACUGCAUAAGACCACAAUGUCGCAUGACGAAGGGGUCAAAGAAAAUCGCUUUGGGAGGGGUUCGCGUCCCAUUAGGUAGUAGGCGGGGUAACAGCCCACCUAGCCGACGAUGGG
Molecule: ribosomal RNA, 266 nt
Filed under: uncultured bacterium
Lineage: Bacteria
Description: partial 16S ribosomal RNA
Rfam family: Bacterial small subunit ribosomal RNA
Source: RNAcentral